GAUGAACGCUAGCGGCAGGCUUAAUACAUGCAAGUCGAGGGGCAGCAGGGAUAGCAAUAUUCGCUGGCGACCGGCGCACGGGUGCGUAACACGUAUACAAUCUGCCUUUUACAGGGGGGAUAGCCUUUCGAAAGAGAGAUUAAUACCCCAUAAUAGUUGACCGGGCAUCUGGUUGAUUUGAAAGCUCCGGCGGUAAGAGAUGAGUAUGCGCCUGAUUAGCUAGUAGGUGAGGUAACGGCUCACCUAGGCUACGAUCAGUAGGGGAUCUGAGAGGACUAACCCCCACACGGAUACUGAGACACGGAUCCGACUCCUACGGGAGGCAGCAGUAAGGAAUAUUGGACAAUGGGCGCAAGCCUGAUCCAGCCAUGCCGCGUGUGUGAUGAACGGCCUUAGGGUUGUAAAGCACUUUCACCGAUGAAGAUAAUGACGGUAGUCGGAGAAGAAGCCCCGGCUAACUUCGUGCCAGCAGCCG
This 475-nucleotide ribosomal RNA is filed under the name uncultured bacterium. Its description in RNAcentral is "bacterial SSU rRNA". It matches the Rfam family "Bacterial small subunit ribosomal RNA", at positions 28 to 517 of the family's 1533-position model. The record is from RNAcentral.